GGGCCUGUGGUGUAACGGCAGCACGGAACCCCAUCAAGGUUACAGGUGCGGGUUCGAAUCCCGCCAGGUCCA
Molecule: transfer RNA, 72 nt
Filed under: Terriglobia bacterium
Lineage: Bacteria; Pseudomonadati; Acidobacteriota; Terriglobia
Also listed under: 1 other name
Description: tRNA-Asp
Rfam family: tRNA
About the family: Transfer RNA (tRNA) molecules are approximately 80 nucleotides in length. Their secondary structure includes four short double-helical elements and three loops (D, anti-codon, and T loops). Further hydrogen bonds mediate the characteristic L-shaped molecular structure. tRNAs have two regions of fundamental functional importance: the anti-codon, which is responsible for specific mRNA codon recognition, and the 3' end, to which the tRNAs corresponding amino acid is attached (by aminoacyl-tRNA synthetases). tRNAs cope with the degeneracy of the genetic code in two manners: having more than one tRNA (with a specific anti-codon) for a particular amino acid; and 'wobble' base-pairing, i.e. permitting non-standard base-pairing at the 3rd anti-codon position.
Source: RNAcentral